This is a non-coding RNA of Heterocephalus glaber (naked mole-rat), 446 nucleotides long. Lineage: Eukaryota; Metazoa; Chordata; Mammalia; Rodentia; Bathyergidae. The record is from RefSeq and is a predicted model, not a curated record.
CUCUUUUAUCAACCUGCUCAUACAGGAACUAACCAUAAUUUUGUGAAAACCACCUUAAAUCCUUCUGAGGGCAUCGUUUCCAGUGUCCUAACCUUAUGCUACACCUCUUAUAGUUCCCACCACUUUUUAAUGCUGUCAUUACCAGGAACCACGCUUCCAGCACAUGAAACUUUGGAGACCCCCUCAAACUAUAUCCAAAUCACAGCAGGCUAUGGAGAGCAUACCAGGCAUGUGAUUUCCUAUGAACCUACAGUCAUUUGCAUUACAAGUGGUCAUGGUCCCUGUCUAUCGGAAGAACACUCCAGGGCAAUGUGAGCCCCAGCUUCAGAACACAGUGCCAAAAGAGAACUCACCUAACCUGUGGUUGUCCUGCUUCAGGACAUGUCGAGGGUCACUGCAUUGCAGCUGGGACAGAACAAACUCAUCCUUGGCCACAGGUCCACAGG